GGAGGAAGUCAGAGCAUAGACACUGCGUACUUGCUUCCGAAGAGCAGGUCUAACAACUCCUGCAAUUUUCAAAAGACUGUGGAAGCAAGAGAACCUGAGCUCUGUCCAGUCCUGGCUCUGGAAGAUGAGGACAGCUGAGGAACAUUGGCAGAGCCCCCGCUUUGUGGGGAAAGUGGCAUCGACUGAGUUUCUUUCCAUUGCUUUUUUCGUCGCCACAAUAAACUGACAGUAAUUGGAGGAUGGAUAAAUGAGUAUGAUUGCAGGAGAAGAGCUCA
This is a long non-coding RNA of Gymnogyps californianus (California condor), 275 nucleotides long. RefSeq lists it as uncharacterized. The record is from RefSeq and is a predicted model, not a curated record. Lineage: Eukaryota; Metazoa; Chordata; Aves; Accipitriformes; Cathartidae. The transcript is spliced from 3 exons.